GACGAACGCUGGCGGCGUGCUUAACACAUGCAAGUCGAACGGAAAGGCCCUGCUUGCAGGGUACUCGAGUGGCGAACGGGUGAGUAACACGUGGGUGAUCUGCCCUGCACUUCGGGAUAAGCCUGGGAAACUGGGUCUAAUACCGGAUAGGAGCCAUUUUUAGUGUGAUGGUUGGAAAGUUUUUUCGGUGUAGGAUGAGCUCGCGGCCUAUCAGCUUGUUGGUGGGGUAAUGGCCUACCAAGGCGGCGACGGGUAGCCGGCCUGAGAGGGUGGACGGCCACAUUGGGACUGAGAUACGGCCCAGACUCCUACGGGAGGCAGCAGUGGGGAAUAUUGCACAAUGGGCGCAAGCCUGAUGCAGCGACGCCGCGUGGGGGAGGACGGCCUUCGGGUUGUAAACUCCUUUCGCUAGGGACGAAGCUUUUCGUGACGGUACCUAGAUAAGAAGCACCGGCUAACUACGUG
RNAcentral lists this ribosomal RNA (465 nucleotides) under uncultured bacterium. Its description in RNAcentral is "partial 16S ribosomal RNA". It matches the Rfam family "Bacterial small subunit ribosomal RNA", at positions 28 to 507 of the family's 1533-position model. The record is from RNAcentral.